GCCUGGGUGGCUCAGUCGGUUAAGCGUCUGACUUUAGCUCAGGUCAUGAUCUCAACUGUUCAUGAGUUCGAGCCCCAUGUCGGGCU
This 86-nucleotide transfer RNA is filed under the name Felis catus (domestic cat). It matches the Rfam family "tRNA". From Rfam's summary of the family: Transfer RNA (tRNA) molecules are approximately 80 nucleotides in length. Their secondary structure includes four short double-helical elements and three loops (D, anti-codon, and T loops). Further hydrogen bonds mediate the characteristic L-shaped molecular structure. tRNAs have two regions of fundamental functional importance: the anti-codon, which is responsible for specific mRNA codon recognition, and the 3' end, to which the tRNAs corresponding amino acid is attached (by aminoacyl-tRNA synthetases). tRNAs cope with the degeneracy of the genetic code in two manners: having more than one tRNA (with a specific anti-codon) for a particular amino acid; and 'wobble' base-pairing, i.e. permitting non-standard base-pairing at the 3rd anti-codon position. Lineage: Eukaryota; Metazoa; Chordata; Mammalia; Carnivora; Felidae. The record is from Rfam by way of RNAcentral.